UUAUCAAGGUUUUUUUUUUCUUUUUGUGCCAGGUUUCUUUUAGUUUUCUAUAUUAAAUAUUAAAUAUUAUGGUGAUUGAGGAUUUCUUUUAGUUUUUAAUUUCAUGCACCUUUUUUUUUUUUUUUUUUUUUUUUGGAAAUUAGUCUAGAAUUUACUUUUUCAUUUUUGGGAAAUUAGUCUUGAAGAAUUACCCCAAACAAAAU
Molecule: long non-coding RNA, 203 nt
Filed under: Prunus persica (peach)
Lineage: Eukaryota; Viridiplantae; Streptophyta; Magnoliopsida; Rosales; Rosaceae
Description: long non-coding RNA (PPER_LNC002310)
Source: RNAcentral